RNAcentral lists this ribosomal RNA (394 nucleotides) under uncultured bacterium. RNAcentral's name for it is "partial 16S ribosomal RNA". It matches the Rfam family "Bacterial small subunit ribosomal RNA", at positions 338 to 729 of the family's 1533-position model. The record is from RNAcentral.
CCUACGGGUGGCAGCAGUGAGGAAUAUUGGUCAAUGGGCGCGAGCCUGAACCAGCCAAGUAGCGUGAAGGAUGACUGCCCUAUGAGUUGUAAACUUCUUUUAUAUGGGAAUAAACUGUUCCACGUGUGGGAGUUUGUAUGUACCAUAUGAAUAAGGAUCGGCUAACUCCGUGCCAGCAGCCGCGGUAAUACGGAGGAUCCGAGCGUUAUCCGGAUUUAUUGGGUUUAAAGGGAGCGUAGGUGGAUUGUUAAGUCAGUGGUGAAAGUUUGCGGCUCAACCGUAAAAUUGCAGUUGAAACUGGCAGUCUUGAGUAUAGUAGAGGUGGGCGGAAUGCGUGGUGUAGCGGUGAAAUGCUUAGAGAUCACGAAGAACUCCGAUUGCGAAGGCAGUUCAC